Long non-coding RNA from Mus musculus (house mouse), 1293 nucleotides. RefSeq annotates it as predicted gene, 53173. NCBI's taxonomy places the organism in Eukaryota, Metazoa, Chordata, Mammalia, Rodentia, Muridae. The record is from RefSeq and is marked validated. The transcript is spliced from 3 exons.
GUUUUAAGCCUGUUCUCACCUGAUCAGCAACUGAACAGGCCCAUUGUAACUGCAAGGACAUCAUCUUCCCUGCUAUGAUGGGCUGUGUCCCCUGAACUGUGAACCAGAAUAAAUAUUUCCUCCUAAAUUGCUUCUUGGAAAUUCACACAAUAGAAAAAGUGACUACCACAGUCUUCCUCAGUACCCCAGAGUGGCCUGGAACCAGGCACCUCCAUCAGCUCCAAGUGCCAGGAACUGAGUUUUGGAUAAUCACAGUGGCCACUAGAAUGAUGAUGCACUGUCCUCAUGUUUCCAAAAGACGUCAACUGGGAAGUUCACACUUCGUCAUUUUCAUUGUGUGAACAGCCACAUAUUCAGGUCACCACAUGCAGACAGCCUCGAACUCUGUCAUGGCACCUGGAUGCUGGUGGAGCAUGGCAUGUUGCAUCACAUGCCCUUUCGUUAGAUGAGAAAACGGAGGCACUGCUGGUCCCAGGUCACAGUACAGCAAGGGAGGAACCAACUUGAAUCCCAUCCAGUGGCCCUUCCCAGACCUGAUCCAGCAGGCACUGAGGUCUCACACAAGAAGGAAGCUGCUUUUGGUGGUGAUAUGAGAAGCAGGAACCAGAUGUGAAUAGAUGCAGGCUCCAGGCAGCAGAGCGUCAACCAGAGUGCACCCCUCCCUUGGCUCCAUGAUGCAUCAUCAUCUGUGACCCUAGAAUAUCAUGAUGCCUACAUGUCUCAUUUAUAAAAUCACCCUCAUGACAGUGGGGGGGAAGGAAAGCAAGGCUGGAUACAUGACAGUGACUAUGUAGCAUGUAUGCCUCCCUGAGCCCAGCUUGCCAGGCGGGUGUGAGCAGUACUGGGCUCUGAUGAUCAAGCCCACAGGCCCGGGUCUGGGAGGCAACACAGGAACUAAAUUCCUACUCCCAUCUCUUGGGCUCUAAAUAAAGUCAUUGCCAUAUUGCAGCUGUGGGGCAUCCUAAAUGGACUGGAGCUCCAUCCCUAGUCUAAUUUCAAGGUCUUGAGAGUGGGCAUAAAGAGCAAGACUGGAGUAAGGAGGAGACAAGGCUAGAACUGAUAGGUUAAAGGAGACUCCGAAUGCCAGCUUGCCUAUAAACAUAAUUCCCAAUGGCAGGAGGUGUGGCUUAGUGGUAGAGCUCUGCCUAGCGUGUCCAAGCUCCAGCACCACCCAGGUGACAGAUAUACAAACAAAUCAACUACCACUAUAAAAAGCAAGACCUUACCCAUGUUACUUUUUUCUCCUGUGUAUUGGUGGUAAUAAACACAUUGUUGUUCUGUGCUCGCACAGUA